This 304-nucleotide long non-coding RNA is filed under the name Elaeis guineensis (African oil palm). RNAcentral describes it as "long non-coding RNA (EGUI_LNC010181)". The record is from RNAcentral. Lineage: Eukaryota; Viridiplantae; Streptophyta; Magnoliopsida; Arecales; Arecaceae.
UCCUCUCCUUGGGUCUCUAUGUUGACUUAUGGUGGCUUGCUAGCCGACGUACUUACCAGAUCUUACCGCUCAUUUGAUGAUCAAUCCCAAGCCCAACUCAGUGAUUUUUCUCCAAGAUAGAGCAUCCCCUCUCUCAGCUAAUUUGAGACCUUCUCCAAUCUUAUUUUUCUCGUGCUAGCUAUAGAUUGUCUUGUUGGCAUGGUGGCCAACUUUGCCCUUAGUCAGCUAACAGAUGGAGCUAGCCUAGCCAUUGAUGAGACUAAUCUCCCCUGCUUUUGAGACCAAAUAACAUCCCAUGGAUCUC